This 301-nucleotide ribosomal RNA is filed under the name uncultured bacterium. RNAcentral's name for it is "partial 16S ribosomal RNA". It matches the Rfam family "Bacterial small subunit ribosomal RNA", at positions 509 to 807 of the family's 1533-position model. The record is from RNAcentral.
CAGUCGCCGCGGUAAUACGGAGGGUGCAAGCGUUAAUCGGAAUUACUGGGCGUAAAGCGUGCGCAGGCGGUUAUAUAAGACAGAUGUGAAAUCCCCGGGCUCAACAUGGGAACUGCAUUUGUGACUGUAUAGCUAGAGUACGGCAGAGGGGGAUGGAAUUCCGCGUGUAGCAGUGAAAUGCGUAGAUAUGCGGAGGAACACCGAUGGCGAAGGCAAUCCCCUGGGCCUGUACUGACGCUCAUGCACGAAAGCGUGGGGAGCAAACAGGAUUAGAUACCCGAGUAGUCCCUGUCUCUUAUAC